UCAGGCCUAACACAUGCAAGUCGAGCGGUAACAGAUCUAGCUUGCUAGAUGCUGACGAGCGGCGGACGGGUGAGUAACGCGUAGGAAUCUACCCAGUAGCGGGGGAUAAGCCAGAGAAAUUUGGUCUAAUACCGCAUACGCCCUUCGGGGGAAAGCAGGGGAUCUUCGGACCUUGCACUAUUGGAUGAGCCUGCGUGAGAUUAGCUUGUUGGUGAGGUAAAGGCUCACCAAGGCGACGAUCUCUAGCUGGUCUGAGAGGAUGAUCAGCCACACUGGAACUGAGACACGGUCCAGACUCCUACGGGAGGCAGCAGUGGGGAAUAUUGCACAAUGGGCGCAAGCCUGAUGCAGCCAUGCCGCGUGUGUGAAGAAGGCCCUAGGGUUGUAAAGCACUUUCAGCAGUGAGGAAAGGUGUGUGGUUAAUACCCGCAUACUGUGACGUUAACUGCAGAAGAAGCACCGGCUAA
Molecule: ribosomal RNA, 467 nt
Filed under: uncultured Gammaproteobacteria bacterium
Lineage: Bacteria; Pseudomonadati; Pseudomonadota; Gammaproteobacteria
Description: bacterial SSU rRNA
Rfam family: Bacterial small subunit ribosomal RNA
Source: RNAcentral